This 21-nucleotide non-coding RNA is filed under the name Caenorhabditis elegans. The record is from RNAcentral. Lineage: Eukaryota; Metazoa; Nematoda; Chromadorea; Rhabditida; Rhabditidae.
UAUGUUUUUUAUAAAAACCUU